GGAGGCUUGGCCAAAUGGCUAAGCUUUCCGCUUAGUAAGCGGAAGAUCAUGGGUUCGAUUCCCAUCUGCUCCA
Transfer RNA from Culex pipiens (northern house mosquito), 73 nucleotides. It matches the Rfam family "tRNA". From Rfam's summary of the family: Transfer RNA (tRNA) molecules are approximately 80 nucleotides in length. Their secondary structure includes four short double-helical elements and three loops (D, anti-codon, and T loops). Further hydrogen bonds mediate the characteristic L-shaped molecular structure. tRNAs have two regions of fundamental functional importance: the anti-codon, which is responsible for specific mRNA codon recognition, and the 3' end, to which the tRNAs corresponding amino acid is attached (by aminoacyl-tRNA synthetases). tRNAs cope with the degeneracy of the genetic code in two manners: having more than one tRNA (with a specific anti-codon) for a particular amino acid; and 'wobble' base-pairing, i.e. permitting non-standard base-pairing at the 3rd anti-codon position. The record is from Rfam. Lineage: Eukaryota; Metazoa; Arthropoda; Insecta; Diptera; Culicidae.